RNAcentral lists this ribosomal RNA (410 nucleotides) under Trifolium subterraneum. RNAcentral's name for it is "eukaryotic LSU rRNA". The stretch from base 270 to 410 matches the Rfam family "Eukaryotic large subunit ribosomal RNA", at positions 1 to 141 of the family's 3401-position model. Lineage: Eukaryota; Viridiplantae; Streptophyta; Magnoliopsida; Fabales; Fabaceae. The record is from RNAcentral.
AGUUGCGCCCGAUGCCAUUAGGUUGAGGGCACGUCUGCCUGGGCGUCACAUAUCGAAGCCUCUUGCCAAUUUCCUAUCCAUAGGCAUUGUGCAGGGUGAAUGUUGGCCUCCCGUGAGCUAUAUUGUCUCAUGGUUGGUUGAAAACUGAGUCGUUGCUAGGGUGUGCCAUGAUAGAUGGUGGAUGUGUUACGCACGAGAGACCAAAUCAUGUGUGUACUCUAUCGAAUUCAGCCUCUUUUACCCACAUGCGUUUCUAAACGCUCGUGAUGAGACCUCAGGUCAGGCGGGGCUACCCGCUGAAUUUAAGCAUAUCAAUAAGCGGAGGAAAAGAAACUAACAAGGAUUCCCUUAGUAACGGCGAGCGAACCGGGAUAAGCCCACCAUGAUAAUCGGUCGCCCUCGGCGUUCGA